UAGUGGAGUGAUUUGUCUGGUUAAUUCCGAUAACGAACGAGACCUUAACCUGCUAAAUAGCCAGGCCGGCUUUGGCUGGUCGUCGGCUUCUUAGAGGGACUAACGGCGUCUAGCCGUUGGAAGUUUGAGGCAAUAACA
RNAcentral lists this ribosomal RNA (138 nucleotides) under uncultured eukaryote. RNAcentral describes it as "partial 18S ribosomal RNA". It matches the Rfam family "Eukaryotic small subunit ribosomal RNA", at positions 1299 to 1458 of the family's 1831-position model. The record is from RNAcentral.